Molecule: long non-coding RNA, 1954 nt
Filed under: Vigna radiata
Lineage: Eukaryota; Viridiplantae; Streptophyta; Magnoliopsida; Fabales; Fabaceae
Description: long non-coding RNA (VRAD_LNC009582)
Source: RNAcentral
AAAGAACAAAAUUUGAUGCGAACUAUCGCUUUCUCUCAAUUUCAGUCACAAAGAGAAGAAGGGCGAUCUGAUUCGCCAUCGACGAAACAUGAAACCCAUGUUUUUCAAUUUUCUAGGUAUACGCAGCUUUAUUUUAUUUUUUAUUUUUUUCUAGAUUUAAUGUUUCUUAUUCAAUGUUUGUCUUCCAAUGGAUUCUGCAAUCUUAACUUUACCUCUGUUUUAGUAACCCUGAAAUCGAACUAGAUCUAAUUUAUAUGCUGUUCAAAAGAGCUCCUUUUAUCCAUCUGAGAGAUGUUAGAACAGGAAAGGUCAAACCCUAAAUCGUGGAAUAUGGGUUUAGCUUUUGCAACUUUGUUAAAUGUCGAUUGAUAAGUACCUAAGGUUUGUUUGAACACUUGUUUUUGUUAUGAAACUUAGUAUGAAAUUUUCAGCCCUGUACAAGGAUUUUUUUCUUAGUUUAAUAAAUGAGUUUUAUAUUAUCAACUAAUUGGAAAUCAUUGUUGGGUAUAAUUUUGAAGUUAUUAUUACUAUGAAAAUUGAUAGACUUAUUAUACAUGACGUUUCGAAUUCCUCUACACAUACAUUACUUUUUUAAACUUAAAGUUCAACGUUUGUUUUGUCAAAAUCACAUUUCUCUUUUGCAAACGGGAAUUUCUAGGCUGUGCUUUCAUAUAAAUCUUAACAUGUCAGAUGUCUGAGUUUGUUCAUGCAAUAUUAGAUUGCUCUCGCUGUGCUGGAUUGCAGGUAUUUUCUGCUUCUUCAGAUGACGAACAUUGAGUUUCUACUGCCCCCUGUCUGUUCUUUAUAGAAAUUGUGGAUCUUUAUGAUUUCGAUGAGUAAAUUCAAAUAUUGGACAUUGGCUGGUUGAUGUUUGACACAUGGAUGUUUGUUGCGUGCUAUCAUCCAGUCCCUUAACAAUCAAAAGGAGUAUCUGCUUAACAUGGUUUUAUGGUAUUGGUUGUUAGAUGGUACUCACACUGCUGUCAUUAAAUAUCGUUGUUCAUGUUACUUCAUGUGUUGGAUGCCUACUAAAUAUCACGGUAGCAAAUAAGCUGUUUACUGUGAAAAAUCUAACCUUGGAAGUCAUAAUGACUCCAAGAUAAUAUGAACUUAAAAGAAUUAGGAUUUCCUUUACCUAGAAGUCCAGAUUGAUUUGAGUGAUAAAAGUUGUUCAAAUGGCUAUACAGAAUACAAUUUUCUGCUUACAUGUCUCACCAUAUUAUCAAGGAAAUAAAUGAAGUUCCAAAAAAUUGAAUAUAUAUGCUCCUAGGCAACUUGGCUAAUUGAAAACAAAUGUAGUUCUUUCUGUUAAGAAAUUUUAAUUGAAUGAUGAAACUUGAAUAAAAAAAAAUCAAGUGAAAUAUGUUGCCAUGUAGCUGGAGGCAGCUUUCAAUGGAUAAAAAUAGACAGUUGCAUUUGGGACCAUUUGGUGAGUUAUGAGUAAUACUAGCUUGGAGUUCUCCAGUUUUCCAGUUUUCCCGUAUACCUUUUUGUGUAGUCUUUAGCUUUAUGAAAAUAUCAAACUCGAGUGUAGUCCAUAACUCCAUUGCCUAUCUAGUGUCGAGCCAAAUGGAUACUAAAGUUUUAUUCUCUGACUGAGCUAUAAACAUGCAAUGGCUACAUGGUUAAGUAUAUAAAAGAAAAGUAACUAACAGUCAGAAGAAGGCCAGGUUCAAUUUCAAGACAUUGAACAAUUCUGGCUUUAGAAGUCAUAAUAAGAACAUAUACUUGCCUUCUUGUUUUGGUGACUCUUAAACUACUUUUGAAGUGCAUCAUCAACUUUAUCUACUUCAAUUUAAGGGAGUGUACACCCUCAUUUGCAUACUUUAGAGACAAACUUUAGAGGGGGAUUCUGGCGUAACGAAGCUAUAGCGAUUCCAAUGAUGGAAAACCUUUUCUUUAUAUUUCAAAGACAGAAAUAUGGAGUCCAUGAACUUUCUUUAAGUUAGUCAUA